UACGUAGGUGGCAAGCGUCGUCCGGAUUUAUUGGGCGUAAAGCGCGCGUAGGUGGUUCCUUAAGUCUGAUGUGAAAGCCCACGGCUCAACCGUGGAGGGUCAUUGGAAACUGGGGAACUUGAGUGCAGAAGAGGAAAGUGGAAUCCCACGUGUAGCGGUGAAAUGCGUAGAGAUGUGGAGGAACACCAGUGGCGAAGGCGACUUUCUGGUCUGUAACUGACGCUGAGGCGCGAAAGCGUGGGGAGCAAACAGG
This 253-nucleotide unclassified non-coding RNA is filed under the name uncultured Caryophanales bacterium. RNAcentral describes it as "uncultured Bacillales bacterium contains 16S-23S intergenic spacer region". It matches the Rfam family "Bacterial small subunit ribosomal RNA", at positions 524 to 776 of the family's 1533-position model. The record is from RNAcentral. Lineage: Bacteria; Bacillati; Bacillota; Bacilli; Caryophanales.